RNAcentral lists this transfer RNA (58 nucleotides) under Salmo salar (Atlantic salmon). It matches the Rfam family "tRNA", at positions 8 to 63 of the family's 71-position model. Rfam says of the family: Transfer RNA (tRNA) molecules are approximately 80 nucleotides in length. Their secondary structure includes four short double-helical elements and three loops (D, anti-codon, and T loops). Lineage: Eukaryota; Metazoa; Chordata; Actinopteri; Salmoniformes; Salmonidae. The record is from Rfam by way of RNAcentral.
UGGCUCACUUGGUAGAGCAUGGUGUUUGCAACGCCAGGAUUGUGGGUUCGAUUCCCAU